UGAAAAGCCACGGCCAUAUGCCAUAUACAUACAGAUUGGAUUGAGAGGAGUAUUCAAUCCUAGAAGUAGAAGUAAAUGGAAGAUUCAAUCAGCAUAUUUAGCAAAGCCCUAGCUUCCUUCUGCAACCAUCUCCAAACCAGUUGCGACGCUCUCAAGCAGUCUGUCGACCGCCGUCCCAUCCCUCUCGAUUCGGCAUCGUCUACCUUCAUACAAUGUCUGAACCGUCGCGUUUCAGCCGUUACCGGCGAUCUGAACUUGCUUGAAUCCAUGUCGUUUGGUACUGUAUCUUUUGAGGAGCUAUUAGGUCACUGCAAUGAAGUUUACAAGAAAAACCAGAGCGAUCUCCUUCAACUUGAAGAUCGUCUCAAGGACUUCGGCUACGUCCCUGAGGUUGAAGUCGAAAUCGAUGAUCAAGAUAAGGAUUCCAGUAUAUCAACGGCUCUUGAUCUGGAACACAAGAAUGGAUUGGACCUUCCCUCUUAUUGCAGACCCGUGUCUGCAGUGAGUUCAAUUAUGAAGAAUUUGGAAGAGGACCCGUUAAUGGAUGAGUCGUUGAGUUUGAAGAGUCUUGGCCUUUCAGACGUUUGUCUUGCCACUCUAGCAUCUGAAGGUGAGUAUUACUAUUGCCUGAUGGGCACCGUGGAUGCUCUAGAAACUCCUUAGACAUGCAUAUACUCAGCUGAACUGCAAAUUAUACUGAUUUUGCUCUGUGCUAGUUGGAUUUCAUGCAAAUUAUACUCACUUGGUGCUUUGCACGAACUUCAUGUCACAUAUUUGUGCAGCAAACAAGAAGAUAGAUGAUCCUGAUAUAUUUAUGGGAGAAUCAAUUAAGUAUUAUGGUGACGAACAAUAUAACAUAAAGAAUCCGGACCAAACUGCUGCAGAUAUCAUUGAAGUAAUUGAAGGGAAAAUGGAAGGUGAUAUGAAGCCGACAGGUAGUCUUAGGGCCCUAGUAGAAGUAUCAAAAGAUGAUUAUGAAAGUCUGCCUUCGUACAUGAAAAGUCUAACUUCAUGGGAGGAUCUGCUAGAGGCUGUUGAGAAAAUUAACUCUAGCCUGAGGAAGAAGGAGAAAGCGAAGGGCGAUAUCUAUUUCCACCAAGAUGAAAUUGCAUCGCUGGGAUUGGGUCCUAGAGCAAGAACUUAUCUGCUGCUGUUAAUGCGCAUGAAUCAGUUGGCGGUCGAGACAAUUGAUGGUUUAAUUUCCUAUAAAGUUUUAUCGAUGAGAUAAGAGACAUUUGUGAGGCUCAAUGUAUCUUGAAACUUAUAAUCAGAUUUUUCUACUCGAAAGAUCUCUUUCAAAACAAAGAUACUUUGUUAAACACUCCCACGCAAAGAUUUAUCCUGUGAAUUAAG
RNAcentral lists this unclassified non-coding RNA (1353 nucleotides) under Hevea brasiliensis (rubber tree). Lineage: Eukaryota; Viridiplantae; Streptophyta; Magnoliopsida; Malpighiales; Euphorbiaceae. The record is from RNAcentral.